AUUGAACGCUGGCGGCAGGCCUAACACAUGCAAGUCGAACGAGUGGCGGACGGGUGAGUAAUGUCUGGGAAACUGCCCGAUGGAGGGGGAUAACUACUGGAAACGGUAGCUAAUACCGCAUACCAUCGGAUGUGCCCAGAUGGGAUUAGCUAGUAGGGGGGGUAAUGGAUCACCUAGGCGACGAUCCCUAGCUGGUCUGAGAGGCUGACCAGCCCCACUGGAAGUGAGACCCGGUCCAGACUCCUACGGGAGGCAGCAGUGGGGAAUAUGGCACAAUGGGCGCAAGCCUGAUGCAGCCAUGCCGCGUGUAUGAGGAAGGCCUUCGGGUUGUAAAGUACUUUCAGCGGGGAGGCGUUACUCGCAGAAGAAGCACCGGCUAACUCCGUGCCAGCAGCCGCGGUAAUUG
Molecule: ribosomal RNA, 406 nt
Filed under: uncultured bacterium
Lineage: Bacteria
Description: partial 16S ribosomal RNA
Rfam family: Bacterial small subunit ribosomal RNA
Source: RNAcentral